AGGGUGACAGGUGGUGCAUGGUUGUCGUCAGCUCGUGUCGUGAGAUGUUGGGUUAAGUCCCGCAACGAGCGCAACCCUCGACCUUAGUUGCCAGCAUUCAGUUGGGCACUCUAAGGUGACUGCCGGCUAAAAAGUCGGAGGAAGGUGGGGAUGACGUCAAAUCAUCAUGCCCCUUAUGACCUGGGCUACACACGUGCUACAAUGGGCGGUACAAAGGGUCGCGAACCCGCGAGGGGGAGCCAAUCCCAAAAAAGCCGCUCUCAGUUCGGAUUGCAGGCUGCAACUCGCCUGCAUGAAGCCGGAAUCGCUAGUAAUCGCGGAUCAGCAUGCCCGCGGUCGAAUACGUUCCCGGGCCUU
Molecule: ribosomal RNA, 357 nt
Filed under: uncultured Paenibacillus sp.
Lineage: Bacteria; Bacillati; Bacillota; Bacilli; Caryophanales; Paenibacillaceae
Description: bacterial SSU rRNA
Rfam family: Bacterial small subunit ribosomal RNA
Source: RNAcentral